CGCCUGCCCUGUGACAAAUGUUUAACGGCCGCGGUAUUUUGACCGUGCAAAGGUAGCGCAAUCACUUGUCUUUUAAAUGAAGACCUGUAUGAAUGGCACGACGAGGGCUUAACUGUCUCCUUUUUCCAGUCAAUGAAAUUGAUCUUCCCGUGCAGAAGCGGGAAUAAAACCAUAAGACGAGAAGACCCUAUGGAGCUUUAGACACAAGACAGAUCUUGUUAAGCACCUCAAAAUAAAGAAAUAAACUAAAAGAGCCCUGCCCUAUUGUCUUUGGUUGGGGCGACCACGGGGAAACAAAUAACCCCCACGCGGACUGAGAAAACAGUUCUUACAACCAAGAGCCACAGCUCUAAACAACAGAAAUUCUGACCUCAAGAUCCGGCAGUGCCGAUCAACGGACCGAGUUACCCUAGGGAUAACAGCGCAAUCCCCUUUUAGAGUCCAUAUCGACAAGGGGGUUUACGACCUCGAUGUUGGAUCAGGACAUCCUAAUGGUGCAGCAGCUAUUAAGGGUUCGUUUGUUCAACGAUUAAAGUCCU
RNAcentral lists this ribosomal RNA (539 nucleotides) under Betta krataios (blue damsel betta). RNAcentral's name for it is "partial 16S ribosomal RNA". It matches the Rfam family "Bacterial large subunit ribosomal RNA", at positions 1856 to 2597 of the family's 2925-position model. The record is from RNAcentral. Lineage: Eukaryota; Metazoa; Chordata; Actinopteri; Anabantiformes; Osphronemidae.